UACGGGGGGAGCAAGCGUUGUUCGGAUUUACUGGGCGUAAAGGGCGCGUAGGCGGUCAGCACAAGUCAGUUGUGAAAUCUCCGGGCUUAACUCGGAAAGGUCAACUGAUACUGUGCGACUAGAGUGCGGAAGGGGCAACUGGAAUUCUCGGUGUAGCGGUGAAAUGCGCAGAUAUCGGGAGGAACACCGGUGGCGAAGGCGGUUCUCUGGGCCUUACCUGACGCUGAGGAGCGAAAGCGUGGGGAGCGAACAGG
Molecule: ribosomal RNA, 254 nt
Filed under: uncultured bacterium
Lineage: Bacteria
Description: partial 16S ribosomal RNA
Rfam family: Bacterial small subunit ribosomal RNA
Source: RNAcentral